GGGGAUGUAUCGUUUCGACAGGAUUGCACUUUAAAAACUGCAAGCCGAACACGAUUCUAAAGUGCGUUAAACUUUGAAUCAAAAUUAAGUGCAGACAGAGAUGUCGCACCGGUUCGACCAGCUUUGGCUUUUGCAUAAAGCUUAAGAACCUGUCUCUUUGGCUUUUUCUCGGUGAAGCCAUUGGGGCACAAACUCAGCCGGGAGUAGAUUCUUAAUUCUGAUCAGAUUAAAAAUCGAAGCUAUCGAUCUUUGUUUGAGUUUCGCUCGUCAAUCGGCUAAAAAUUCAAACGAGACUUUAAAGAUUUCCGCCACAGGCGGACUAGCUUUUAGCUUGGACUAUGCUUGUAGAUGUUUUUUAUUUGUAAUCUUGGACGAGGGCUCAAAACCCUCCAUCUCCACAU
Molecule: transfer-messenger RNA, 401 nt
Filed under: Patescibacteria group
Lineage: Bacteria
Also listed under: 6 other names
Description: WO2-42-50 sp001776545 Standard tmRNA
Rfam family: transfer-messenger RNA
About the family: Bacterial tmRNA, also known as 10Sa RNA or SsrA, is named for its dual tRNA and mRNA-like properties. Its role is to liberate the mRNA from a stalled ribosome.
Source: RNAcentral